AUCCAGCCAUGCCGCGUGUGUGAAGAAGGCCUUAUGGUUGUAAAGCACUUUAAGCGAGGAGGAGGCUCUUUUAGUUAAUACCUAAGAUGAGUGGACGUUACUCGCAGAAUAAGCACCGGCUAACUCUGUGCCAGCAGCCGCGGUAAUACAGAGGGUGCGAGCGUUAAUCGGAUUUACUGGGCGUAAAGCGUGCGUAGGCGGCUAAUUAAGUCGGAUGUGAAAUCCCCGAGCUCAACUUGGGAAUUGCAUUCGAUACUGGUUAGCUAGAGUAUUGGAGAGGAUGGUAGAAUUCCAGGUGUAGCGGUGAAAUGCGUAGAGAUCUGGAGGAAUACCGAUGGCGAAGGCAGCCAUCUGGCCAAAUACUGACGCUGAGGUACGAAAGCAUGGGGAGCAAACAGGAUUAGAUACCCUGGUAGUCCAUGCCGUAAACGAUGUCUACUAGCCGUUGGUCUCUUUGAGGGAUUAGUGGCGCAGCUAACGCGAUAAGUAGACCGCCUGGGGAGUACGGUCGCAAGACUAAAACUCAAAUGAAUUGACGGGGGCCCGCACAAGCGGUGGAGCAUGUGGUUUAAUUCGAUGCAACGCGAAGAACCUUACCUGGUCUUGACAUAGUGAGAACGAUCCAGAGAUGGAUUGGUGCCUUCGGGAAUUCACAUACAGGUGCUGCAUGGGCUGUCGA
RNAcentral lists this ribosomal RNA (679 nucleotides) under Acinetobacter schindleri. RNAcentral describes it as "bacterial SSU rRNA". It matches the Rfam family "Bacterial small subunit ribosomal RNA", at positions 386 to 1055 of the family's 1533-position model. Lineage: Bacteria; Pseudomonadati; Pseudomonadota; Gammaproteobacteria; Moraxellales; Moraxellaceae. The record is from RNAcentral.